GGCGAGAUCACUCGCUGAGUUUAAGCAUAUAAAUAAGCCGAGGA
This 44-nucleotide ribosomal RNA is filed under the name Ephedra pedunculata. Its description in RNAcentral is "partial 26S ribosomal RNA". The record is from RNAcentral. Lineage: Eukaryota; Viridiplantae; Streptophyta; Gnetopsida; Ephedrales; Ephedraceae.